RNAcentral lists this ribosomal RNA (994 nucleotides) under marine metagenome. RNAcentral's name for it is "bacterial SSU rRNA". It matches the Rfam family "Bacterial small subunit ribosomal RNA", at positions 8 to 1039 of the family's 1533-position model. The record is from RNAcentral.
AGAGUUUGAUUAUGGCUCAGAACGAACGCUUGCUGCAUGCUUUAUACAUGCAAGUCGAACGGAGGCCCUAGCUUGCUAGGUGUCUUAGUGGCGCACGGGUGAGUAACACGUGGGAACAUACCUCAUAGUACGGAAUAACUGCGGGAAACUGUAGCUAAUACCGUAUAUUCCAGCAAUGGGAAAGAUUUAUCGCUAUGAGAUUGGCCCGCGCAAGAUUAGUUUGUUGGUAAGGUAAUGGCUUACCAAGGCUGCGAUCUUUAGCUGGUUUGAGAGGAUGAUCAGCCACACUGGGACUGAGACACGGCCCAGACUCCUACGGGAGGCAGCAGUAGGGAAUAUUGGACAAUGGGGGCAACCCUGAUCCAGCAAUGCAGCGUGAGUGACGAAGGCCUUAGGGUUGUAAAACUCUUUCAUCGGUGAGGAUAAUGACAGUAGCCGAAGAAGAAGGACCGGCUAAUUCCGUGCCAGCAGCCGCGGUAAUACGGAAGGUCCUAGCGUUGUUCGGAAUUACUGGGCGUAAAGCGCAUGUAGGCGGAACAGAAAGUUAGAAGUGAAAUCCCUGGGCUCAACCUAGGAAUUGCUUUUAAAACUUCUGUUCUGGAAUUCAGGAGAGGAAAAUGGAAUAUCCAGUGUAGAGGUGAAAUUCGUAGAUAUUGGAUGGAACACCAGUGGCGAAGGCGAUUUUCUGGACUGAUAUUGACGCUGAGAUGCGAAGGCAUGGGUAGCAAACGGGAUUAGAUACCCCGGUAGUCCAUGCAGUAAACGAUGGGUGCUAGUCGUCGGACUUAUGUUCGGUGUCGUAGCUAACGCGUUAAGCACCCCGCCUGGGGAGUACGGUCGCAAGAUUAAAACUCAAAUAAAUUGACGGGGACCCGCACAAGCAGUGGAGCAUGUGGUUUAAUUCGACGCAACGCGAAGAACCUUACCAGCGUUUGACAUGGGAAGUGCCGGUUACAGAAUGGUAACCUUCAGUUCGGCUGGCUUCCACACAGGU